This 469-nucleotide ribosomal RNA is filed under the name uncultured bacterium. Its description in RNAcentral is "SSU rRNA". It matches the Rfam family "Bacterial small subunit ribosomal RNA", at positions 26 to 523 of the family's 1533-position model. The record is from RNAcentral.
AGAGCGAACGCUGGCGGCAUGCUUAACACAUGCAAGUCGCACGGCCGGGCAACCGGCAGUGGCGGACGGGUGAGUAACGCGUAGGUAUCUAUCCUUGGGUGGGGGACAACUGUGGGAAACUACAGCUAAUACCGCAUGAUGACUGAGGUCCAAAGCUCGUCCGGGGCAACUCGGGGGAGCGCCUGGGGAGGAGCCUGCGUACGAUUAGCUAGUUGGUGGGGUAAAGGCCUACCAAGGCGACGAUCGUUAGCUGGUCUGAGAGGAUGAUCAGCCACAUUGGGACUGAGACACGGCCCAAACUCCUACGGGAGGCAGCAGUGGGGAAUAUUGGACAAUGGGCGCAAGCCUGAUCCAGCAAUGCCGCGUGUGUGAAGAAGGUCUUCGGAUUGUAAAGCACUUUCGACGGGGACGAUGAUGACGGUACCCGUAGAAGAAGCCCCGGCUAACUUCGCGCCAGCAGCCGCGGUAA